GCUGGGGCACAGUGAUCGGUGGAAGACCCACACGUACCUCUCAAGUUAGAGGAGAAAUGAGGUAAUUGACACAAACCAUAGUGCCCACAGCUGUGCUCCACCAGGCUAGUGGGCUGGCAAUGGCUCUUUGAAGGUGAUCUUACUUAUGUUUUUCUAUUAAUUAUCCUUGUCAUGUUCAAGGACAGAAUUGGACUCAGAGGGUGUGGCUCAGUGGUAGAGCCCCUGCCUAGAAUCUCCCAGUGAGGGGCUGGGGGCAUGGCUCAGUGACCAAGUCCUUGCCUAAUAUGUGCAAAGCCCUGUGUUUAAUCCCUAACACCACAAAAAUAAAACAAUAAAAAACAUACACGCUGU
This 351-nucleotide long non-coding RNA is filed under the name Mus musculus (house mouse). Its description in RNAcentral is "predicted gene, 57248". Lineage: Eukaryota; Metazoa; Chordata; Mammalia; Rodentia; Muridae. The record is from RNAcentral.